Long non-coding RNA from Meriones unguiculatus (Mongolian gerbil), 1088 nucleotides. RefSeq lists it as uncharacterized. The transcript is spliced from 2 exons. The record is from RefSeq and is a predicted model, not a curated record. NCBI's taxonomy places the organism in Eukaryota, Metazoa, Chordata, Mammalia, Rodentia, Muridae.
AGGGACGGGACCACUUCAGCUGUGAAGCCGCUUACACUGAGUUUUGACAAGGAGAGUAAGUGUUCGGGGAGCCUGGGUUGACAAAACAGUGUGGCAAUGAGACCUCGACCAUGGGCAUCUUUCUGGAUCCCAGGUUCCCACCUCAGCAUUUCUGGUUCUUUUGCCCAAAGCUUUCGUCUAUUUCUAGAAGGACAGAGGAAUACUGACACGUUGACAAUGGCUCCUCUCUCCCCGAAGUCCUGUCUCCCACAAGGUUUUGAAUUCAUGGCUCCAGCAUGUGGCCUAUUUUACAAUGCAUCUUUUGUUUUCACACUGAGGUGCUACUACAAAGAAAACUGGGGCAGAGAACAUGCAGCGAGCAGAAGAACACCUUUUUUUUAGAUACUACAUGUUUGGGCCAAAGAGAGUUUCCGGACAAUGCCUACGUUACGGAGCGGCAGACAGCGGUGCAUACCUUUACUAGGCAAUUCUUAUGGCCAGGCACAGAGCCGUUUACAUAGAUGAUGUUGUGCUUCGUGUUCACUCUCCACACCUACAACAAGAGGCAAACAACUUGUGAGAGAUGAAGGCUCCGGGACUAGUGAGCAGUGUUACUUCAACCAAGAAGCACCGUCCAGUCGUGAGCACGCGGGAACUGAGGGCAGAGCAGAGGCUGCUAGCUCAGUCAUGUUUUAGUCAUGUAAGAGCAUUAGUGCACCUCACUUGAUGUGUAGCUGCUGACGACUACUUCAACUCCAUGGAGGCUGCUGCCGCCGAGGAAGAUGGGAAAUUCAGUUCUGGUACUGUUACUUUAGUACAACUAGUCACUGGGAAUUCAUAACUCACUGAUUCUAAUCUCUAAAUUAAGCAGGAAAGCAGGCUGCCUUUAGAGACAUCUCAACAUGGAGGAAAACAAACACACAAAUGGAAGGGAAUGUUAAAAAAAAUGACAGUAAGAAAAUAAACAGCACAGAGGAAACUGAUGGACUCUACUAAGGUAAAAUAGCAAUGGUGGCCAACAGACUUAGAUUUAUCUGAUAAUUAACUCUAGGUGCUGACUUGACUUGACUGAAGAGUGCUGACAAUAAACCUGCCUUGUGUGCCUGCGA